This 262-nucleotide unclassified non-coding RNA is filed under the name uncultured fungus. RNAcentral's name for it is "partial contains small subunit ribosomal RNA, internal transcribed spacer 1, and 5.8S ribosomal RNA". The stretch from base 1 to 73 matches the Rfam family "Eukaryotic small subunit ribosomal RNA", at positions 1759 to 1831 of the family's 1831-position model. The record is from RNAcentral. Lineage: Eukaryota; Fungi.
ACAAACUUGGUCAUUUAGAGGAAGUAAAAGUCGUAACAAGGUCUCCGUAGGUGAACCUGCGGAGGGAUCAUUACAGAGUCCCCGCCCCCCGGGCGGACCUCCCACCCACUGUCAUCCCUACCGUCGUUGCUUUGGCGGGCCGCCGGCGCGCGCCCGCCAGAGGCCCCGCAAACUCCAGGUGUCGGCGUCGUCAGAGCACUAUCUAAUCGUCAAAACUUUCAACAACGGAUCUCUUGGUUCUGGCAUCGAUGAAGAACGCAGC